CCCAUAGUGGUGGGUCAGGGCCCAUAGGUGUGGGGUGGGACCCAUAGAUGUGGGGUGGGACCCCUAAGUGGGGGGCUGGGACCCACAGAUGUGGGAUGGGACCCAUAGGUGUAGGGCUGCCCCACAAGUGGGGGGCUGGGACUCAUAGGUGUGGGGCGGGACCCCUAAGUGGGGGGGCUGGGAGCCUUAGGUGUGGGGUGGGACCCAUAGGUGUGGGAUGGGACCCCUAAGUGGGGGGGCUGGGACCCAUAGAUGUGGGGCGGGACCCCUAAGUGGGGGGCUGGGACCCAUAGGUGUGGGGUGGGACCCAUAGAUGUGGGGUGGGACCCCUAAGUGGGGAUGCUGGGACCCCUAUGUGGGGAUGCUGGGACCCAUAGGUGGGGAGUGGGACCCAUAGGUGUGGGGCUGCCCCACAAGUGGGGGGGGAGGGACCCAUAGGUGGGGAGUGGGACCCCUAAGUGGGGGGCUGGACCCAUAGAUGUGGGGCUGCCCCACAAGUGGGGGGGGGAAGGCGGGACCCAUAGGCGUGGGGCGGGACCCAUAGAUGUGGGGCUGCCCUACAAGUGGGGGGGCGGGACCUAUAGGAAGAGAGGGAGGACCCAUAGGUGUGGGGCGGGACCCAUAGGUGUGGGGUGGGAAUCUAUAGACCCAUAGGUGUGGGGCCCAUAGAUGUGGGUCUGCCCCAUAGAUGUGGGUCUGCCCCAUAGAUGUGGGACCUUAGAAACCAGCCCCAUAGAUGUGGCUCUGCCCCAUAGAUGUGGGACCUUAGAACCCAGACCCAUAGAUGUGAGUCCAGUGGCUCUGCCCCAUAGAUGUGGGGUCCAUUGGGGUCUGCCCCAUAGAUGUGGGUCCCAGUGAGUCUGCCCCAUAGAUGUGGCUCUGCCCCAUAGAUGUGGGACCCAUAGAAGUGGGAUCUAUGGGGCCAGCCCCAUAAAUGGAAGACCCUUAUGGAUCAGACCCAUAGAUGUGGGACCCCCAGAUCUCAGCCCCCCACAUAGAAGUGUUCUCUAUGGGUCCCGCCCCACACUUAUGGGUCUGCCCCAUAGAUGCGGCUCUGCCCCAUAGAUUUGGGACCCAUAGGGAUCUGCCCCAUAGAUGUGGGACCCCCAGAUCUGAUCCCCCCCCCAUGUACAGAGCCCAGCAG
Molecule: long non-coding RNA, 1144 nt
Filed under: Numida meleagris (helmeted guineafowl)
Lineage: Eukaryota; Metazoa; Chordata; Aves; Galliformes; Numididae
Description: lncRNA (ENSNMEG00000000848.1)
Source: RNAcentral